AUACGGAGGGUGCAAGCGUUAUUCGGAAUCACUGGGCGUAAAGGACGCGUAGGCGGGUUGGCAAGUCAGAUGUGAAAUCCUACAGCUUAACUGUAGAACUGCAUUUGAAACUGCUAACCUAGAGUAUGGGAGGGGGAGAUGGAAUUAGUGGUGUAGGGGUAAAAUCCGUAGAUAUCCCUAGGAAUACCGAAAGCGAAGGCGAUCUCCUGGAACAUAACUGACGCUCAGGCGUGAAAGCGUGGGGAGCAAACAGGAUUAGAUACCCUAGUAGUCC
Molecule: ribosomal RNA, 274 nt
Filed under: uncultured bacterium
Lineage: Bacteria
Description: partial 16S ribosomal RNA
Rfam family: Bacterial small subunit ribosomal RNA
Source: RNAcentral